UUUGUUUCUUACUAUGAUCAGUCUUGUUUCGACUAUUGGAUUUUAAGCACGCGUUUUCAUUAGCUCGCUUAGACACACAACCAAGCGUGUGCUACUAACAAACCCAUAUCAACAAUUCAAAUCACGAAAAAAAAAUCUAACUCAUCGCUGUUACAAGUGCAUUUCGAAAAAAGUUGGGUGUGUGGUUUUGAUUCUGUGUGGAAAAUUGGAUUUGACGGCUUUUACGAAACAGACAAAUUCGUCAGGGGAGAAAAUAUUGUUUGAGGUAGAAAUUGGGCAAGAAAGCGAAGCAAAAUGAAAUCGACACGGAAUGUUCGUUUAAUCACCGAUGUGAUUGCGAAACGUACAACGACAACCACAACGGCCACAGCAAAAGCAGCUACCGCUGAACAGUUAAACUACUAUGAGCCACAGUGUCCGCAUGCAGUUGUGCAGAAUGAAAACCAUUUAUCGAAUUCAUCAUCGACAGCGACGGCGGCCACCAUCGACACACCAUUUACCUAUGAAACUGCACGCCCUUACAGCGAAGUGCCGGGUCCAAAACCAUUGCCACUAUUGGGUAACACAUGGAGAUUGAUGCCGAUUAUUGGGCAGUUUCAAAUAUCGGACAUCGCACGCGUUUCAUACAUUUUACAUGAACGAUGGGGCCGAAUCGUUCGACUGGGCGGUUUGUUGGGACGGCCGGAUUUAUUGUUCGUCUACGAUGCCGAUGAAAUCGAAAAGUGUUAUCGCAACGAAGGUGUCACACCGUUUAGACCAUCGAUGCCGUGCUUAGUGCAAUACAAGGGAAUCGUUCGAAAUGAUUUCUUCGGCGAUUUGCCAGGAGUGGUUGGUGUUCACGGUGAACCAUGGCGUGAAUUCCGAUCCCGUGUUCAAAAGCCCGUUCUACAGCUAACUACAGUCAGACGAUACGUACGACCAUUGGAAGAAGUUACCGAUUAUUUCAUAGAAAGAUGCCAGCAAAUGUUAGACGAGAACAAUGAACUGCCCGACGAUUUCGAUAAUGAAAUUCACAAAUGGUCUUUGGAAUCCAUCGGUCGAGUUGCACUUGACGCACGUCUGGGUUGCUUGGAACCUAAUCUUAAUCCAAAAUCCGAACCACAGCAGAUUAUUAAUGCCGCUAAAUAUGCCCUGAGAAAUGUCGCUACACUCGAACUUAAAUUCCCAUUCUGGAGAUAUUUCCCGACGCCAUUGUGGUCAAAAUAUGUGAACAACAUGAAUUAUUUCGUCGAAAUUUGCAUGAAAUAUAUUCAAGCGGCUACCGCUAAAAUGAAGUCACGAUCACCAGCCGAACGGGCAGCCCUCGGCGAACCAUCGUUACUCGAGAAGGUCAUUUUAAGCGAAAAGAACGAGAAAAUCGCAUGUAUUAUGGCACUCGAUCUGAUUUUAGUCGGCAUCGAUACGAUUUCGAUGGCAGUUUGUUCGAUUCUCUAUCAGCUAUCCACACGGCAAGCAGAACAAGAAAAAGUCUACCAAGAAUUAUGCAGAGUUAUUCCUGAUCCGAACACACCAUUGACCUACCAAACACUUGAACAGUGCCACUAUCUGAAAGCGUUUAUUAAAGAAGUUUUUCGAGUGUACAGCACAGUCAUUGGAAAUGGUCGGACGUUGCAAGAAGACACAGUUAUCUGCGGUUAUAACAUACCGAAGGGAAUUCAAGUUGUGUUUCCAACAAUUGUCACAGGAACGAUGGAACAAUAUUGUAAAAAUGCCGACACUUUUCGGCCGGAACGAUGGUUGAAGACAACUCAAGGAGGCUCCGGUGAAUAUAUUCAUCCAUUUGCUUCACUGCCGUACGGAUAUGGAGCGAGAAUGUGCUUGGGACGACGCUUUGCCGACUUAGAAAUGCAAAUUCUAUUGGCUAAGUUGCUACGUACACACAAAUUGGAGUAUAAUUAUCAACCACUUGAUUAUGCCGUCACAUUCAUGUACGCACCCGAUGGCAAACUUAAAUUCAAAAUGACCAAACGUGACAAGUGAAUUGUUGAGUAGUUGUACGAAAAUUGAUAGUUUAGAAAAUGUAAGGUUUCAAAGGAAAAAGUAUUAAAAUAUCCAUCCCUUGAGUUUUUAUCGCUUAACCGAACAGACUGCGAGAGACAAACUGAUAAAAUUGAAGUAUGGAAUCAGCGAUAGUAUCGCAAUGACCUGUAUCUUUGGAUGCUGUUGGCCGAAUCGCUCUAUUCUAGUUCUCAAUCAAAUGCAUUGCACUCGAGUCAAAUUCACACAAACACAUUUUAAAUAUGAACACU
This is an RNA transcript of Sitodiplosis mosellana (orange wheat blossom midge), 2249 nucleotides long. It is a transcript of the gene named probable cytochrome P450 301a1, mitochondrial, with no coding region annotated. The transcript is spliced from 9 exons. The record is from RefSeq and is a predicted model, not a curated record. NCBI's taxonomy places the organism in Eukaryota, Metazoa, Arthropoda, Insecta, Diptera, Cecidomyiidae.